GAUUUGUCCUUUGAAAGCGAUAGCGAUUUCUACAAUGUAGAUGACGAAACUCUAAAGCCAAAAAACUGCUUUGCAGCACCACGUGAGAAAUUGAAAAAAUUCUCUAAGGAAAAUUAUCAAUCUAGAACGUCGAAUAAAAAACAAACAAAUCUGAGUGCAAUAAAACUUGGCUCACAAAUGUCACAAAGUAGCAUUUCUUCUCCAAUAAUGACUACAAGACCUCCCUCUCCUGACACCUCUAAUGUCACAAUGCGCCAAGUAUUAAAAGAAGUGAAACUCCUGAGAACAGAAGUAAGGGAUAUGCGGGAAAAUCAAAUAAUUCUAAAGAAUAUGUUUGAAAAUAUGGUCGCUAUAAAUUAUUUUUCGAAAAAAAAUUUCGUUCAGCAAUAUGAUUUAAAUUGACCUUUCAAACCAUUGAGGACCUACAAAGU
Long non-coding RNA from Belonocnema kinseyi, 431 nucleotides. RefSeq lists it as uncharacterized. The record is from RefSeq and is a predicted model, not a curated record. NCBI's taxonomy places the organism in Eukaryota, Metazoa, Arthropoda, Insecta, Hymenoptera, Cynipidae. The transcript has 3 exons.